RNAcentral lists this ribosomal RNA (881 nucleotides) under uncultured haloarchaeon. RNAcentral describes it as "bacterial SSU rRNA". It matches the Rfam family "Archaeal small subunit ribosomal RNA", at positions 1 to 891 of the family's 1478-position model. The record is from RNAcentral. Lineage: Archaea; Methanobacteriati; Methanobacteriota; Halobacteria; Halobacteriales; Halobacteriaceae.
UUCCGGUUGAUCCCCCGGAGGCCAUUGCUAUCGGAGUCCGAUUUAGCCAUCUAGUCGCCGGGUUCAGACCCGUGGCGAAUAGCUCCGUAACACGUGGCCAAUCUACCCUASGGACCGGAAUAACCUCGGGAAACUGAGGCUAAUCCCGGAUACUGCUCCCACGCUGGAACGCCGGGAGCCGGAAACGUUCCGACGCCGUAGGAUGAGGCUACGGCCGAUUAGGUAGACGGUGGGGUAACGGCCCACCGUGCCAAUAAUCGGUACGGGUUGUGAGAGCAAGAACCCGGAGACGGAAUCUGAGACAAGAUUCCGGGCCCUACGGGGCAGCAGGCGCGAAACCUUUACACUGCACGACAGUGCGAUAGGGGGACUCCGAGUGCGGAGGCAUAGUGCCUUCGCUUUUGUGUACCGUAAGGUGGUACACGAAUAAGAGCUGGGCAAGACCGGUGCCAGCCGCCGCGGUAAUACCGGCAGCUCGAGUGAUGGCCGAUCUUAUUGGGCCUAAAGCGUCCGUAGCCGGCCGGGCAAGUCCGUCGGGAAAUCUACCAGCUCAACUGGUAGGCGUCCGGCGGAAACUGCUCGGCUUGGGACAGGGAGACUCAAGAGGUACGUCCGGGGUAGGAGUGAAAUCCUGUAAUCCUGGACGGACCACCGAUGGCGAAAGCAUCUUGAGAGAACUGCUCCGACGGUCAGGGACGAAAGCUGGGGUCUCGAACCGGAUUAGAUACCCGGGUAGUCCCAGCUGUAAACGAUGUUCGCUAGGUGCGACGCAGACUACGAGUCUGUGUUGUGCCGUAGGGAAGCCGAGAAWGAACCGCCUGGGAAGUACGUCCGCAAGGAUGAAACUUAAAGGAAUUGGCGGGGAGCACUACAACCGGAGG